RNAcentral lists this ribosomal RNA (495 nucleotides) under uncultured bacterium. RNAcentral's name for it is "partial 16S ribosomal RNA". It matches the Rfam family "Bacterial small subunit ribosomal RNA", at positions 28 to 507 of the family's 1533-position model. The record is from RNAcentral.
GACGAACGCUGGCGGCGUGCCUAAUACAUGCAAGUAGAACGCUGAAGGAGGAGCUUGCUUCUCUGGAUGAGUUGCGAACGGGUGAGUAACGCGUAGGUAACCUGCCUGGUAGCGGGGGGUAACUAUUGGAAACGAUAGCUAAUACCGCAUAAUAGCAGUUGUUGCAUGACAACUGUUUGAAAGGUGCAAUUGCACCACUACCAGAUGGACCUGCGUUGUAUUAGCUAGUUGGUGGGGUAACGGCUCACCAAGGCGACGAUACAUAGCCGACCUGAGAGGGGGAUCGGCCACACUGGGACUGAGACACGGCCCAGACUCCUACGGGAGGAAGCAGUAGGGAAUCUUCGGCAAUGGACGGAAGUCUGGCCGAGCAACGCCGCGUGAGUGAAGAAGGUUUUCGGAUCGUAAAGCUCUGUUGUAAGAGAAGAACGAGUGUGAGAGUGGAAAGUUCACACUGUGACGGUAUCUUACCAGAAAGGGACGGCUAACUACGUG